AUGCUUACUUCAGCAGCACAUAUGCUAAAAUUAGAAUAAUAUAGAGGAUUAGCCCUCUGAGCAAAGAUAACAUGCAAAUUAGUGUGAAGCACUCCAAAUUUUU
Molecule: small nuclear RNA, 103 nt
Organism: Meriones unguiculatus (Mongolian gerbil)
Lineage: Eukaryota; Metazoa; Chordata; Mammalia; Rodentia; Muridae
Source: Ensembl